CCUACGGGCGGCAGCAGUGGGGAAUAUUGCACAAUGGGGGGAACCCUGAUGCAGCGACGCCGCGUGGGUGAAGGAGUAUUUCGGUAUGUAAAGCCCUAUCAGCAGGGAAGAACAAUGACGGUACCUGACUAAGAAGCACCGGCUAAAUACGUGCCAGCAGCCGCGGUAAUACGUAUGGUGCAAGCGUUAUCCGGAUUUACUGGGUGUAAAGGGAGCGCAGGCGGCGCGUUAAGCCUGGUGUGAAAGCCCGCGGCCCAACCGCGGGACGGCAUUGGGGACUGGCGCGCUGGAGUGCCGGAGGGGUAGGCGGAAUUCCUAGUGUAGCGGGGAAAUGCGUAGAUAUUAGGAGGAACACCAGUGGCGAAGGCAGCUUGCUGCAGCGGAACUGACGCUGAUGCUCGAAAGCGCGGGUAUCGAACAGGAUUAGAUACCCCUGUAGUC
This 441-nucleotide ribosomal RNA is filed under the name uncultured bacterium. Its description in RNAcentral is "partial 16S ribosomal RNA". It matches the Rfam family "Bacterial small subunit ribosomal RNA", at positions 338 to 795 of the family's 1533-position model. The record is from RNAcentral.